Hyla sarda is the source of this 235-nucleotide long non-coding RNA. RefSeq lists it as uncharacterized. The transcript has 3 exons. Lineage: Eukaryota; Metazoa; Chordata; Amphibia; Anura; Hylidae. The record is from RefSeq and is a predicted model, not a curated record.
AGAGAAGCAGGACCGGCGUUGUCAGGAAGCUCAGCUCAUGCUCCAAGUCGGCCCCGAAACAGAAGAUUCAGAAGAUAGCCGGAGAACCAGAGCACGGAACGGGCUCUGCACUACCUGUUUGUACUGACAGGUUUUACAUGAGGGCCAACUACAUCCCCCCCGCACCAUCCAUGCUUCGCCCAUUGUUACCAUGGUUCAGCCUCAAGGCCUACUACAUAUACCCAUAGGAUGUCCA